AGUAUGCUUCCUUUGACUCUACUUGUUGAAUGUAAUUGUCACAAAUUUGAGUUUGGUUUAUGGGUGCGAGUUCAUAAAUUACUGUUAGCAUCAUGUGUCGAGUAAACGUGACGAGAGAGAUGGCGGUACUUACAGAGCCGAGCUGAGUGGAGAACUUGAUGAGGUGGAGAUUGUAGGGAUCGCAGGCCAGGUACAAGUUCUUCACCACGAUGGCCCCCGAAUCCUUGUCGGCCUUCGGUCUCUCCGAGCUCGUCCUCACUUCCAAGUGGGUCUCUUUCAGGGAACCUUGUACCUUCUCUCUGUAAAUCACCUGUUUGUUCCUCAUAACUUCCGCUGAAGCGUUGUUGUUCUCCUUCUCCAUUCUCUCUCUCUCUCUCUCUCUCUCUCUCUCUCUCUGGAUUUGAUCGGUGAGACGCAUGGCCAAAUACUUUAUAGGGAAGAUGGGUGAUAAAAGAUGGGUGAUGAAAUAUGCAGUCGCCGGUGACGUGUGCCCGUGUGUCAUCCGUGGAAUAGUAUUCCAAUUGGGAGACCAUUUCAAAGAAAUGGGCAACCGGUUGAAAUCUAAACAAUAUAUUAUUAUAUUUGCUAAUCUUAAUUAAUUCAACAAGGAAACUAGAUAAAAAAAAAAAACAAUACAUACGAUGAAAUGAAGGUUUUGUUUUCUUAUUUUAUUUAAGGAAUAAUAUUACCAUCGUUCCUUUAUUUUUAUCAAAAAAAUCAAAAUCAAAAUCAUCCUUCUUUCUUUUAUUAUUAUUUUUUAAAAACGUCUCUCGAGUUUUUAGAAAAUGUCAAUGUACAGUCCUUCCAUUAUAAUUUUUCCCUUACUCGUCGAUUUUUGUUGACAUGGAUUAGAGAAUUAAUAAUAUAGAUGCUAGUGAAUACAUGUGUCACACUGAAAUACAUAUGUCAUGUCAUGAUUUUUUGAAAUUUAUUAUAAGUCAAAAAGGCACCACAUUAAUAUAUAUAUAUAUAUAUAUAUAUAUAUAUAUAUAUAUAUAUAUAUAAAACCAAAAUUGAGAGAGAAAAACAGAUGGAGGAUCAUCAUCGUAGCCAGAAGCUCAAGCUCUAAGCUUGUAGCAACCAUGGUCACAGUGGCCACAACCACUAGAGUUUCGAAUUGUGAAUUUUGAGAGCAUGGCUACUCGAGAAAAGCUCAUGGUCAUGGUGGCUCAAUUGGUGGUCGUAAAUGGUUACAAAUCAUAGUUUUUGUGUUUAUUAUGGAUGUUUUGUAGGUUUUCUUCAAGUUUAUCGUUUAUGUUAUUUUAUUUUUAUUAUACUCAAAUUUAAGAAAUUUUACUUCGAGGGAUUAAAGGAAAUCCCGAUAACUAAGAUUUCAUUCCAAAUUUCCCAAAGAAACAAGAUGACCCAUUUAUCUUGUUCCCUCUACUUAUACUAUUAACUUAUUCGCUCUUUCAAUGAACAUUUUAUAGCACUUUAUGCUUCAUAUUUGAUGAAGUGGCAUGUCACAUAAUGCUUAAGCAUGUAUAAAUUACUUCACCUUUCACCUGCCCUUAAAACCUACCUUAACACUUUUUCUUUGGAAGAAGUACAUCCCAGGUGUCAAAGCUUGACUCAAAAGGACACUUAAAUUCCAAAAAUUAGGAAAGUGAUACUUAAGUGUCAUCUCUGGUAAACCCGCCGAAAAUCUUACGUGAUAAUUUUUUAUUAUUUUUCUUGCCUACAUGGCUUGUCAAAGAGUUGACUUAGCAAAGAAAUGCAAAAACGACGUCGUUUUAAUGUGAAUUUGAAUUUGAAUAUAAAAUUUAAUUAAAUUAAACUAUAAAAAUUAAUUAAAAAUAAAUAAAAAAUUUUUAAAAAAGGGAGGGAUGAAGAAGGUGGCUGAGGGCUGAGCCCUCUGCCACUGCCUCCCUAUCGUCGCAGGGAAGGGCUAGCGAAGGUGGGGGGAGGGUUGGCUAGGGCCCAACGACCCUGGUUGAUCAAUGACGAGGGCUUGCGAGCCCUCGCCUAGAUCUGGGGUGAGGGUCGCAACCCUCCCCCAAAUCUGACAAGGGUAGGCGACUCUCGCUUGAAUAGGCCAAGGGCCGCUGCUAGCUAGGGGCGCCCCAACGGGCAACCAUUGUUUGCUGUUUUGUUGAAAUCCAAAUGUUACAAUAAGUGCACAUCCGUCUACUUCAAUAAUUGAAUCAUAUUAUUUAUAUUUGUAUUUUUUCUUUGUGUUUAUCUUUAUAUUCUAUUUGUUAUUAUUAUAUAAUUUUUUCAACUGAGUGUUUCUUAUUUAUGUUUGAUUGUCAAGAGAAAAAUAUCAUUUCAGUCCUUCUCAUAUAGUUCUUUAUUUAAAAUUAAACAAAUAUAUUUAGUUGUUAAUACCAUUCAAAGUCAAACAAAAAUAUUCAAAUUAUGCGUAAGAAAAUAUUAAAUUGUAUCUUGCGUUUGAGUUGGUGAAAGAAAUAUUAAGAAAUCCAUUUUCUUAUUGGGAUCAGGAUCCAUCAGACCAUGUAGUUUUCUGGACUGGUUUGUUUGGCUUUUUCGGUUUGGUCAAAGGAGACGUCUGGUUGUUUGACUCCUACACGCAGCGACACAAGAGAGAAAGCCAUUAAAGAAAUGGAGGGGGUGAAAGGGUCUUUGUCAGAGUAAGAAAACAAAGUAAAAUAUAGUUUUUUUUUUCUUUCACGAGGGCUCAGGUACACAAGAAUUUUGUUGUGUGACUUUUAUAUCCAAGUCGAGUUGUCGCACUUACUAAUAAUUUAGGUGUGGGAAAUAUUAGAGCAUGUUCAUGAUCGUAACUUUGAUUCUCCGAUUUUAUAAUGAAUUAUUUACUGUUGAUUCUUCUUGUGAAGAAAGUACUGAUACUCAAACCGAAUCAUCUAAUUCAUUCAUGUCUUUUAUUUUUCUUGUUUAUUUCUUUGGUAAUUUCACAUUGAUUUAAAUUGCAAAAUCUUGUUAGUUUCCUCAUUAAUUUUACAAUGGGAAGUUUGCUGUCUAUACAUUUUAAGAGAUUGCGUGGUCUUUAUACAUGCAAUGCACGUAACAUUCUACUAGCAAUUUGAAUACGGAUCAUUACUAGAAAAGUCUUAAACUUAUUAUUCAAAUGGCAAUUUAGUUCAAAACUUUUUAAUUUAGCCAAAUUAAUCCUAAUUUUUUUUGACAAUUUGUCAAUGUAAUCAUACCGACCAAUUUUGGUCGGUAAUUGCUGACGUGGACAAAAAUUGUCUUAUGUGGCAUAGUCGAUACUGAUGUAAAGAACUUUUUUUUGUGAUAUUUUAAUUUUUUUAAUUUUCUUUUUCCCCCCUCUUCCUUUGCCGGUUGCCAUGGCCAAUAAUCAGCCAUAGUCGAGGGCUGGUGAGGGCAAGCCUCACAUGAGGCCCAUGAGAUCAGCCCUUGUUCGACCCUUGCUUGUCGCUUGCUAGCAAUUGCCAAGGCCUGACAACUGGCAAGCAAGAAGGAAAUAAAAAAAGAAAGAAAAUAAAAAAGGAAAAAUUCAAAUAAAGUAUAUAUAUUUAGAAAAAUAUAAAAAAUGCAAAAAGUUGAUUACAUUAGUGUUGGCUAUGCCACAUUACUGGCCAAAAUUAGCUAGAAGAAUUAUAUUAGCAAAUCAUCAAAAAAAAAAUUAUGAAUAAAUUGGCUAAAUUGAAGUAUUUAUGAUUGAAUUGGUAUCCGUAUAAUAUAUUUAACAUUUUUUUUUGGAAAUUUGUAUGGAUUAUGGCUCAAAGUUAGUUCCUACUAUUUCUAAAUUUGACCCACGGAUUACAAGUAAUCAUGCUCAAUAUUAAGGAAAGUCCAAAUCGGACUCUUGUCAACAAGAUCAUGAAUAACAAGAUCAUGAGUAACGCAAAAAAUAUAUAUUAACUUCUCAAAAAAUUUCUUUUUUCUUAUUGAAGAUGAAGUCUAUGUUGAUGUACUUACCAAAAAAAAAAGAGUCUAUGUUGAUGUCUGAAAAGUGCUCAUAGUUUCUUGCAUACAAAUAUUAUGUUGUUGAAUUUGGUUGGGUGUGCAUAGUUAGUGCGCUUAGUAUGUACGACACUUGCAAGAGACACAAAGUGCACCAAGAACCACAAUCCAAGAGAUUCGAGAGUAUAAGAAAAUUCCUCUUUUGCAAACGAUUUUUGUGGGUUCCUCCUGAAUUAAAAAAAAAAAAACUUAUAAGUGAGUAUGACUGAGUAAUUGUAACUUUAUCCUCCUUGAUUAUUGUGGAGUUAUCUUGUUGAUUUCUCAUGUUAGAUUUGACAUAUAAUCAAAUCAUGUAAAUCUGUUAUUUUUCGAUUUUAUCUAUGAAAUUUAUAUCUUAAUUAGGGUAUGCGUGUUUCAUAGAAAUCUUCUCGAUGGAAGAAUAUAUUUUUGCAAAAAUCAUUUUCUAAGGAAAUAGCUUGUCAUUAGUUAUUUGAUGGUGUUCUUGAAGGCGAGACAUAAUUAUUUUUGAUGUUUUAAACCUAACUUUAAUAAAUUAAGCUCAAUGUUAUAAUUAUGGUUUGCUCCUAAUAUGAGAUACUAAAGUGAUAUCCAAAUCAUUGUCUAAAAUAUUACUAAUGUUUGGAAGAUAAUUUUAUGGAUUUUUAUUAUCAAAAUAAUGCAACCUGAAAAAGGACGCCCAAGAAGAAAAUGCAAAUAAUUAACAAACUUAAUCUAUCAGUACUCUUUCGAAUACCAACAAAAAAAAAAAAAAAAAUCAAUCAGUGCUCAUAAAACUUUACGUGAAAAUAGAUCUCCAUUCCAAAAAAUUAAUCAAAGAGGGAUACACAAUAAAAGUCCAAUCUGGAAAAGAAAAAAAAAAGGAAAAAGAAGAGUCAUCAUAAAAUUAAAGACAAAAACAUCCUAAAUUGGCAUUUCCACGGACACUUCAUGUAUCAUCCUUCUAAAAUAUGCAUCAUACAGCCGAGUGACGAAUAACCAAAUAACAAUUUAGUCUGACAGAGAUGCAACAAAUUGAGCAAUUGAAGCUAAUUCUAGUACCAAUCUGAAGAGGAGAUGAAACAGUUUUGAGAGUUUGCUGUGAAGAAAAGAAAGGAUGGAGAGUGAAGACUAGUAGGGACAGAGGGAGAACAGAGCACGCUUGUAGAAAAUGAGUCUGAAAAAACCGAUUUCUUCUUUUUAGGAUAGAGAAGUCAAUUUCCUGGAUGUUGAGUAUUGUUUUUUUUUUCUUGCCUGAAAAGUUUUUUCAAUAGAUUAUCCACUUUCAACAAAUCAAACGUAUUGAUCUUUAAAAAAUCAUUUCAUGGAAGUCCUUUCCUUAAAAACAAUGACACCCUCCAAAUUGCUUUGAUUCUUCACAUUUUCGCGCUAGUCAAAACAGUUUGAUCUUUCAAACCAGUUCAUUUAAAGGCGACGGCACGGUAAAGGAAGAUCCAUUUACAUCGACAUCUUAGAGAGUAAUAGAAUGAAAUUUUAUACCAAUAGAUUCAGCAGAGAAGAUAUCCUCCGAAAGAAUAACAGAGCAUUCGCACCCAAAAGUGCAGUAAGCGGGAAACUACUAGCUUCUGUUUCCCCACCAUUGCAACCAGAAAACAACCCCAUGCCCCUUCUUAUACAAGACACAUUUCCACUCAAAUGUACUUUGUAUCAUAGCGGCAAUGUAAUGACAAACGGAAAACAACUCCUUUCGAAAGCACGAGGCAAAAUGAGACUAUGUUGAUGAAAAAAAGUACAGAAAGCUUACUCAUUUGCGAGAAACCACGACCACCUGUUUCCCGAUGUUGCGACCGGAGAACACCCCAACAAGAGCUGCUGGACCAUUCUCGAGCCCUUCCGCGAUGUCUUCCGUGUAUGCAAUCUUCCCCUCUCUGAUCUGAGGCAAUACCAUCUCCAGGAACUUCGGGUAGAGAUGAUAGAAAUCGGACACCGAGAAACCUUCCAUCCGAACCCGCUUCCAGAUAAGGUUUAUCAAGUUGUGUACGCCUUCGUGCUGCUCGAGGUUGUACUGUGAGAUCAUUCCGCAUACUGUGAUUCGGCCAUGAAGUUUCAUAUUGGGCAGCACGGCAUCAAGCAUCUUUCCGCCGACAUUUUCGAAGUAGAUAUCGAUCCCCUCAGGGAAGCAUCUAAACAUUCAAGACAGAAAAAAGUCAACUCUAGUCGGCUUUGGAAUGGGUACAUAUUGAAUAUUUUGCACAUAAGUAAUGUGCUCAAUCAUCGUUACUUUAUUCUUGAUUCACCUUUUCAGUGCUGCAUCCAGAUCCAGUUCCUCCUUGUAGUUGAAAGCAUCAUCGAAUCCAAACUUGUUCUUCAGCAAAUCAACCUUUUUCCCAAACAUAACAGCAAGCGAGUAUUUUAAGUAAAGAUAAAAUCGGGAAGAGACUAUUAAGCAAUUACUAUCCAAGGAAAAACUAGACAAAUGUGAGAUGAUUACCUUCUCUUUUCUACCGGCGCUGCCAACAACAUAACAACCAAACAACUUUGCAAACUGGCCGACAAGCUGACCAACAGCUCCUGAUGCCGCCGAUAUGAAAACAGUAUCUCCUUUCUUGGGAGAGCAUACCUCGAAAAACCCAGCAUAAGCCGUCAUACCUGGCAUACCUGGAAAGUUUGGAUUUAUACAAAUUAGACGAGUUUCAAGAUUUGCUUAAGCAUAGGAGGAGGAGUGUAAUGCCAUGGCAAAUCUCAAAUGAUCCGAUUUAAUUGACCGAAGGUGAUGCCCCUGACAAAUGGAUGAGAAACAAUCAAUUUACACGCUUCUCUCAACACGAAAGAGCUGUACAGUGCUCCAUUGUUGAGAUAACUCAACGAGGGCAUAUGGCGCUUAAACAAGGAAGAUCCCCCCCAAGUAAAAUUCAAAGGAAGCACGCUUUUUCCUUGCAUAGCUGGAGGCUGUCCGUACUUGAGAACCAAACAGACAGAACAAAGUAUCUUAACGAUUCAAUGCUCCUCAUUAUUUAACUCUGAAAGAGAUAUCGCACCAAAUGAUUAAAGAGCAUACCCAGAAGGCCGGUGUAGUAAGACAGAGGAACAUCGGUGUGUUCGAUCUUAAAGCAAGUCUCUGGCACAGUAAUUAGACUAUACUCCUCCCAUCUAGUGAUGCCCCAAACCAAGUCGCCUUUCUUGAAGUUUGGAUGCCCAGAUUCCAAAACUCUAGCUACUCCAUAUCCACGAACAGGCUGCAUCGUUGUGUUAGAUUCUUCAGAAUAUAAGCGCAACUACAAUUAGCAAACUCGAAUAGACUUUGAGCGAACAAGAAGGAAAGAGUAUGCUUCCUUUGAAUCUUACUUGUUGAAUGUAAUUGUCACAAAUUUGAGUUUGGUUUAUGCAUGCGAGUUCAUAACUUACUGUUAGCAUCAUGUGUCGAGUAAAUGUAACAAGAGAGAUGGCGGUACUUACAGAGCCGAGCUGAGUGGAGAACCUGAUGAGGUUGAGAUUGUAGGGAUCGCAGGCCAGGUACAAGUUCUUCACCAUGAUGGCCCCCGAAUCCUUGUCGGCCUUCGGUCUCUCCGAGCUCGUCCUCACUUCCAAGUGGGUCUCCUUCAGGGAACCUUGUACCUUCUCUCUGUAUAUCACCUGUUUGUUGCUCAUAACUUCCACUGAAGCAUUGCUGUUCUCCUUCUCCAUUCUCUCUCUCUCUCUCUCUCUCUCUCUCUCUNNNNNNNNNNNNNNNNNNNNNNNNNNNNNNNNNNNNNNNNNNNNNNNNNNNNNNNNNNNNNNNNNNNNNNNNNNNNNNNNNNNNNNNNNNNNNNNNNNNNNNNNNNNNNNNNNNNNNNNNNNNNNNNNNNNNNNNNNNNNNNNNNNNNNNNNNNNNNNNNNNNNNNNNNNNNNNNNNNNNNNNNNNNNNNNNNNNNNNNNNNNNNNNNNNNNNNNNNNNNUAAACAAUAUAUUAUUAUAUUUGCUAAUCUUAGUUAAUUCAACAAGGAAACUAGAUAAUAAAAAAAAAAAAAAACGAUAGAUGCGAUGAAAUGAAGGUUUUGUUUUCUUAUUUUAUUUAAGGAAUAAUAUAACCAUCGUUCCUUUAUUUUUGUCCGAAAAUCAAAAUCAAAAUCAUCCUUCUUUCUUUCUCUUUAAGAAAGAAAAAAAAAACGUCCCUCUACUUUUUAGAAAAUGUUGACGUGCGGUCCUUCCAUUGUAAUGUUUCCCUUACUGAUCGAUUUUUGUUGACAUGGAUUCAAAAUUAAUGAUAUAGACGCUAGUGAAUAUACGUGUCACCCUGAAAUAUAUGUCAUGUCAUGAUUUAUUGAAAAUUAUUAUAAGUAAAAAAGGCACCACAUCAAAUAAUAUUAAACAACAGAAAAACCAAAGUUGAGAGAGAGAAAGAGAUGGAGGAUCAUCGUCGUAGCCUUGAGCUCAAGCUCUAAGCUUGCAACAACCAUGGUCGCGACGGCCACAACCACUAGAGUUUCAAAUUGUGAAGCUCGAGAUCAUGGCUGCUCAAGAUAAGCUCACGGUCAUGUUGGCUCAAUUGGUGGUCGUAAAUGGUUACAAAUCAUAGCUUUUGUAUUAUUAUGGAUGUUUUGUGGGUUUUCUUCAAGUUUAUCAUUUCUAUUAUUUUAUUUUUAUUAUACUCAAAUUUAAGAAAUUUUACUUUGAGGGAUUAAAGGAAAUCCGAGAUUUCACUCCAAAUUUCCCAAAGAAAUAGGAUGAACAAUUUAUCUUGUUCCCUUUACUUGUACUAUUAACUUAUUUGUUAUUUCAAAGAACUUUUUAUAACACUUUAUGCUUCAUAUUUGAUGAAGUGGCACGUCACAUAAUGCUCAAGCAUGUAUAAAUUACUCCACCUUUCACCUGCCCUUAAAACCUACCUUAAUACUUUUUCUUUAAAAAAAGUACACCCCAAGUGUUAAAAUUUGGCAUAAAAUGACAUUUUAGUGCCAAAAAUUAAGAAAAUGCCAUUUUUUGAAAUGUGAGAUUGCCAUCUACGAUUAACCUUGCCAGCAAUCCUACAUGGCAAUUUUUUAUUAUUUUUCUUGCCUACAUGGCUCACCGGAGAGCAGACUCAAUAAAGAAACGCAAAAAUGACAUCAUUUUGACGCGGAUUUGAAUUUUAAUAUAAAAUUUAAUUUAAUGAAUCUAUAAAUAAAUUAUAUAUAUAUAUAUAUAUAUAUAUAUAUAUAUAAGGGGGUGAAAAGAAGAAGGUAGCUGAAGGUUGAGCCCUUACUGCCGCCUUCUCCCUGCCGUCACUUGGAACAGCCAACAAAAGUGGGAGUAGGGUUGGCUGGGAUCGCCGGGCCUUGGCUAGGGGUUAGCGACCCCGACUGACCCUUGCCCAAAUCUUUUGCAAGGGUCGCCACCCUUCCCCAGAUCUGGCGAGAGUCUAUAGCUCUCACAUGCAUAUACGGCGAGGGUCACCGNNNNNNNNNNNNNNNNNNNNNNNNNNNNNNNNNNNNNNNNNNNNNNNNNNNNNNNNNNNNNNNNNNNNNNNNNNNNNNNNNNNNNNNNNNNNNNNNNNNNAAAGGAUAGGAAUUUGCUAAACAUUCUCUUUAUAUUUCAAGAACCAUAAUUCUCUAGAAAUCUACAUGGAAGAAAAGGAAGUGCCAGAUACCUGGAGUGUCAAAACUUGGCACAGGGGGAUACUGAAGUGCCAAAAUUGGAGCAAAAUUGAUCACUUAGGGCGCGUUUGAUUGUGUUUCUGUUUAAAAAUUGUUCCAGGGAACAGAAAUAGAAAAAAGUAUUUCUGUUCCGGGGAACAAUUUUUGAACAAAAAUACGCGUUUGGUAAACUUGUUCCGGGAAUAAAAAAUAAACAGAAACAUGUUUGGUAAAUUUGGAUAAUUUUUUUAUUUCUUUUAUUUUUUCUAUUUUUUUCUUAUUUUUCCUUUUUUUCUUUUUUCUUUUUCAUUUUUUUUUUCUUCUUUUGGCCGGUCGCCGGCCAAGGCCUUGGCCGGCGACCGGCCAAAAGAAGAAAAAAAAAAUGAAAAAGAAAAAAGAAAAAAAGGAAAAAUAAGAAAAAAAUAGAAAAAAUAAAAGAAAUAAAAAAAUUAUCCAAAUUUACCAAACAUGUUUCUGUUUAUUUUUUAUUCCCGGAACAAGUUUACCAAACGCGUAUUUUUGUUCAAAAAUUGUUCCCCGGAACAGAAAUACUUUUUUCUAUUUCUGUUCCCUGGAACAAUUUUUAAACAGAAACACAAUCAAACGCGCCCUAAGUGAUCAAUUUUGCUCCAAUUUUGGCACUUCAGUAUCCCCCUGUGCCAAGUUUUGACACUCCAGGUAUCUGGCACUUCUUUUUCUUUCAUGUAGAUUUCUAGAGAAUUAUGGUUCUUGAAAUAUAAAGAGAAUGUUUAGCAAAUUCCUAUCCUUUCCAGCAAUUAAAAAACCAUUUGCAUUUCUGAAAAUUACGUUAGAACUUUAGCUGAAGAAUUUUACCUUUUUUUUUGUCCUUUUUAGGAAGCUUUAGCCUUCUCUCUGACUCGUGAAGUGGAAAAACCGGAUCCGACCCCCAAAAAGAAAAAAUAAAAAGUGGAAAAACCGGCAACUCAAGUUUGUGGGUUACUCGAUUUAAAUUGUGCGAUGGAAGACAACCCAUCACUUGAUUGCGGAUAACGGUGCCGUUAUGCUCACUUUCCUCAUUCCAAUUCCAUUUCUCUCUUCAAUUUGUAAUUGUUAUUGUCGUUGUCCUCGGUGAAUUUUAAUUCUUACUUUUGCUUUUCCCUUGUUGAUAUAUUAUUCUGGACACUCUUCUCGCACUUCUUAAUUAACUCUUUUUGAAUUUUUGGCAUUCCUCUCAAUUAUUAAAUUAACUCUUUCUUCAAAAUUAUCAUACAUUUUCAAUUAACGAAAAUAUAUAUAUUUUUUGCAUGAAAAAAUUCUUGUCUUUUUUUCAAUUUUUGUUUUCUUUUGUUUGGAAGAGUUUAUUUGAGUAAAUAUAAUAUUAGCUACUUCAAACUUUAAAUUUGAUUACUUACUGUCCAAUUCAUUUUCUUCAUGCAUUUUUUCUGUCUCAUUUGAAGUGCUAUACUUGCUUUUUAUAUUCUUCUUCUUUCUUUCCUUUCUUUUCUAUACUUGAUUUUAUAAACUAAAGGGACUCGGUCAAACCCCAAAUGUUACACUAAUCAAAUAAUUUAUAUUUGUGUGUUUUCACUGUGUUGAUCUUUUCCUAUGUUCUAUUUGUUAUUAUUAUAUAUUUCUUUUCUAAUUAUUAUAUUUUUUUUUUCUAAUGAGUGUUUCUCAUUCGCAUAUGAUUAUCACAAGAAAAAAAAAUCAAUUUCAUUCCUUCUCAUAAGAGUCAAACAAUAAAUAUUCAAACCGUGUUUAAGGAAAUGUUAGAUUAUAUCUCGACUUGGGAACCAUGUGAGGAAUAUCAAGAAAUAUAUUUUCUUAUUGGGUUCGGAUUCAUCGGACGAUGUAGUUUGCUCGAUUGGCUUCCGACGAAGGAGCCACAAGGUUAUUGGCUUAUUCAGUUUUGGUCAAAGAAGAUGUGUGGUUGUUUGACUCCUAUGCGCAGCCGCACGACAGUGAGAGCCACUACAGGACAAAAUAAAGGGGUCGCAUAUUCUCUAAUUAUAUAUUUAUUUCGGGGGUAAAAAGAUUUUUGUCUGAGGAAACAGCCCGUGGGCUCUCGAGCAGAACGUAGACUUUGGGGGUGUUUGGUUCAGCUUUCCCAAGGGGCUUUGAGCCUCGAAAGCCCCUUGGGAAAAAUUAGAGGGUGUUUGGUUCGGCUUUCAAAUGCUCCUUGGUGAAAUGUUUGCCUUUGGAAUGCUGAAUGCCGAAUGCUGGGGGGGACCAGCUUUGAGCAUUGGGCAUUCUGGAGAUGCGAUAUUACUGUUCAUCGCGUCACUGUUCAUCGUCUCCUCCGCCGUUCGCCUUCUUCUUCGCCAUUCAUCUUCUUCUUUGCCAAAGGCAGCGCUCAGCCGCGAUCUGGCCGUCGAGAAGCCUCGCCUGAGGUCGCACAACCUUAGGCGAGGUGGCCUGAGGUCGGGCAACCUCAGGCGGCGUCGCCUGGUCUCGCGCUAGCCAGGCGACCAGGCGAGGCCAGAUCUGGCCAUUUGACGGCCAGAUCUGGCCCCUGCGACCUCCGGCGGCCAGAUCUGGUGGUUCGGCGACGGCCAGAUCUGGCCGUCCGGCGGUGGCUGGCGGUUGGCCGACAGUAGCCGACCGUCGGAAUUUCAUUUCAGACUUUAAAGAAAAUAAAAAAUAACAAAAGCUAAUUACAAAUGUAAAGUUUGCCAAACGGUGUUUAUGCUAAGUUGCAUUUCCAUGCUAAAAUUUACCAAACGGUGUAACAUUUCCGAAAGCCCCUUUCUCUCAAAGAUAUUUGCAUUUUCCCAAUGACAUUUCCCCAAAGCCGAACCAAAUGGGCCCCGCGCGAGGGAACGCUUCGAACGAGCAUCGGACACACGUGAAUUUUGUGCUUUGUUUUAUAUUCAAAUUGGGACGUAAGACUCAUGUAUAUUCUGGGUGUGGAAAAUAUUGAAACCUGUUCACGAUUGUAAUUCUAAUUUUUCAAUGAUAGUAGAUUAUCAGCUACUACCAACUCUCCCAAUACAGUAUGUACCUAGAUUUUUGACCGAAUAUUGUAAAGUUUAUGGUGUUUUUAAUUGUUCAUUGUUUUAUUUAUCUAGUGAUUUCGAGUUAAUUUAAAUUGUAAUAUCUUGUUAGUUUCUGUAUUAAUUUUACUAUGGAAAGUUCGGUGUCUAUACAUUACCCUUGACAUUCUACUUGUAAUCUAAAAAUGAAUAAUUACUAUAAAUUUUUAAACCUAUUAUUUGGAUAUCAAUUCAGUCAUUAAUUUUUUAAUUUAAUUAAUUUAGUUUUAAAUCUUUUGAUGAAUUGACAAUUUACUUAUUCCACCUAUAAUCGCUAACAUGGACAAAAUCAAACGUAUUGAUCUUUAAAAAAUCAUUUCAUGGAAGUCCUUUCCUUAAAAACAAUGACACCCUCCAGAUUGCUUUGGUUCUUCACAUUUUCGCGCUAGUCAAAACAGUGAUCUUUCAAACCAGUUCAUUUAAAGGCCACGGCACGGUAAAGGAAGAUCCAUUUACAUCGACGUCUUAGAGAGUAAUAGAAUGAAAUUUUAUACCAAUAGAUUCAGCAGAGAACAUGUCCUCCGAAAGAAUAACAGAGCAUUCGCACCCAAAAGUGCAGUAAGCGGGAAACUACUAGCUUCUGUUUCCCCACCAUUGCUACCAGAAAACAACCCCAUGCCCCUUCUUAUACGAGACACAUUUGCACUCAAAUGUCCUUUGUGUCAUAGCGGCAAUGCAAAGAGAAACGGAAAACGACUUUCAAAACCACGAGACAAGAUAAGACUAGGUCGAUGAAAAAAAAUGUACAGAAAGCUAAAUCAUUCGCGAGAAACCACGACCACUUGUUUCCCGAUGCUGCGACCAGAGAACACCCCGACAAGAGCUGCUGGACCGUUCUCGAGCCCUUCCGCGAUGUCUUCCAUGUACACAAUCUUCCCCUCUUUAAUCUGAGGCAAUACCGUCUCGAGGAACUUCGGGUAGAGAUGAUAGUAAUCAAACAUUGCAAAACCUUCCAUCCGAACCUGCUUCCAGAUAAGGUGCAUCAAGUUGUGUACGCCUUCGUGCUGCUCGAGGUUGUAUUGUGAGAUCAUUCCGCAUACUGUGAUUCGGCCAUGAGGUUUCAUGUUGAGCAGCACGGCAUCAAGCAUCUUUCCACCGACAUUUUCAAAGUAGAUAUCGAUCCCCUCAGGUAAGCAUCUAAACAUUCAAGACAGGAAAAAGUCAACUCUAGUCGGCUUUGGAAUGGGUACACAUUGAAUAUCAUGUACAUAAGUAAUGUGCUCGAUCAUCGUUACUAUAUUCCUAGUUCACCUUUUCAGUGCUGCAUCCAGAUCCAGUUCCUCCUUGUAGUUGAAAGCAUCAUCGAAUCCAAACUUGUUCUUCAGCAAAUCAACCUUUUUCCCAAACAUAACAGCAAGCGAGCAUUUUAAGUAAAGAUAAAAUCGGGAAGAGACAAUUAAGCAAUUCCUAUAUAAGGAAAAACUAGACAAAUGUGAGAUGAUUACCUUCUCUUUGCUACCGGCGCUGCCAACAACAUAACAACCAAACAACUUUGCAAACUGGCCGACAAGCUGACCAACAGCUCCCGAUGCCGCUGAUAUGAAAACAGUAUCUCCUUUCUUAGGAGAGCAUACCUCGAAAAACCCAGCAUAAGCCGUCAGACCUGGCAUACCUGUAAAGUUUGGAUUUAUGCAAAUUAGACAAGUUUCAAGAUUCGCUGGAGCAUAGAAGUAGGAGUGUAAUGCUAUGGCAAAUCUCAAAUGACCCGAUUUAAUUGAUCGAAGGUGAUGCCCCUGUCAAAUGGAUGAGAAAUAAUCAAUUUGGACACUUCUUUCAACACAAAAGACAGCUUUGCAAGGCUCCAUCGUUGAGACAAUUCAACAAGGGCAUACGGCACUUAAACAAGGAUGAUCCCCACAAGUAAAAUUCAAACGAAGCACGCUUUUUCCUUGCAUAAAAGCUGGAGGCUGUCCGUACUUGAGAACCAAAUAGACAGAACAAAGUAUCUUAACGAUUCGAUGCUCCUCAUUAUUUAACACUGAAAGAGAUAUCGCACCAGAUGAUUAAAGAGCAUACCUAGAAGGCCGGUGUAAUAAGACAGAGGAACAUCGGUGUGUUCGAUUUUAAAGCAAGUCUUUGGCGCAGUAAUUAGACUAUACUCCUCCCAUCGAGUGAGGCCCAAAACCAAGUCGCCUUUCUUGAAGUUCGGAUGCCCAGAUUCCAAAACUCUAGCUACCCCAUAUCCAGAAACAGUCUGCAUCAUUGUCUUGGAUACUUCAGAAUAUAAGUGGAACUACAAAUAGCAAACUCGAAUAGACUUUGAGCGUACAAGAAGGAAAGAGUAUGCUUCCUUUGAAUCUACUUGUUGAAUGUAAUUGUCACAAAUUUGAGUUUGGUUUAUGGGUGCGACUUCAUAAAUUACUGUUAGCAUCAUGUGUCGAGUAAACGUGACGAGAGAGAUGGCGGUACUUACAGAGCCGAGCUGAGUCGAGAACUUGAUUAGGUGGAGAUUGUAGGGAUCGCAGGCCAGGUACAAGUUCUUCACCAUGAUGGCCCCCGAAUCCUUGUCGGCCUUCGGUCUCUCCGAGCUCGUCCUCACUUCCAGGUGGGUCUCCUUCAGGGAACCUUGUACCUUCUCUCUGUAAAUCACCUGUUUGUUCCUCAUAACUUCCGCUGAGGCGUUGCUGUUCUCCUUCUCCAUUCUCUCUCUCUCUCUCUCUCUCUCUCUCUG
Molecule: long non-coding RNA, 15062 nt
Filed under: Eucalyptus grandis
Lineage: Eukaryota; Viridiplantae; Streptophyta; Magnoliopsida; Myrtales; Myrtaceae
Description: long non-coding RNA (EGRA_LNC004777)
Source: RNAcentral